This 207-nucleotide long non-coding RNA is filed under the name Elaeis guineensis (African oil palm). RNAcentral's name for it is "long non-coding RNA (EGUI_LNC064413)". Lineage: Eukaryota; Viridiplantae; Streptophyta; Magnoliopsida; Arecales; Arecaceae. The record is from RNAcentral.
AUUCUCCUUCUUGGAUCAGUUCAGAUCCUUUCGAUGUCGAAGAUGGACUAAAGGAGGAUGUAGAUGGUGGAAGAAAGUCAGAGAAACUCCUUUCUCUGAUUUGAAUUUCUCUCUCCCAAAAACCCUAAUGCCUACGGCCUAAAAAUCUCAUCCAAAAUGAGACGAUCUCCGCUAAACUCACACACCAACAACUUAGCCACCCACCCC